Molecule: ribosomal RNA, 500 nt
Filed under: uncultured bacterium
Lineage: Bacteria
Description: partial 16S ribosomal RNA
Rfam family: Bacterial small subunit ribosomal RNA
Source: RNAcentral
AUUGAACGCUGGCGGCAUGCUUUACACAUGCAAGUCGAACGGUAACAGGGUGCUUGCACCGCUGACGAGUGGUGAACAGGUGAGUAAUGCGUCGGAACGUGCCGAGUAGUGGGGGAUAACGCAGCGAAAGUUGUGCUAAUACCGCAUACGUACUGAGGUAGAAAGUGGGGGACCUUCGGGCCUCACGCUAUUCGAGCGGCCGACGUCUGAUUAGCUAGUAGGUGAGGUAAAGGCUCACCUAGGCGACGAUCAGUAGCGGGUCUGAGAGGAUGGUCCGCCACACUGGGACUGAGAAACGGCCCAGACUCCUACGGGAGGCAGCAGCGGGGAAUUUUGGACAAUGGGCGAAAGCCUGAUCCAGCCAUGCCGCGUGUCUGAAGAAGGCCUUCGGGUUGUAAAGGACUUUUGUCAGGGAGGAAAUCCCUAGUGCUAAUAACACUGGGGGAUGACAGUACCUGAAGAAUAAGCACCGGCUAACUACGUGCCAGCAGCCGCCGUAA